Lutra lutra (Eurasian river otter) is the source of this 108-nucleotide small nuclear RNA. The record is from RefSeq and is a predicted model, not a curated record. NCBI's taxonomy places the organism in Eukaryota, Metazoa, Chordata, Mammalia, Carnivora, Mustelidae.
GUACCUAUUUCCACAGCACAUAGACUAAAAUUGGAAAAAUACAGAGAAGGAUUAGCGUAGCGCCUUCCCAAGGGUGACACACAACUUCAUGAAACAUUUGUAUUCAUA